This 74-nucleotide transfer RNA is filed under the name Bacteroidales bacterium. Its description in RNAcentral is "tRNA-Arg". It matches the Rfam family "tRNA". From Rfam's summary of the family: Transfer RNA (tRNA) molecules are approximately 80 nucleotides in length. Their secondary structure includes four short double-helical elements and three loops (D, anti-codon, and T loops). Lineage: Bacteria; Pseudomonadati; Bacteroidota; Bacteroidia; Bacteroidales. The record is from RNAcentral.
GGUCUUGUAGCUCAGCUGGAUAGAGCAACUGCCUUCUAAGCAGUAGGUCCUGCGUUCGAAUCGCAGCAAGAUCA